GAUGAACGCUGGCGGCGUGCUUAACACAUGCAAGUCGAACGGAAAGGCUCCUGCUUUCAGGGGUACUCGAGUGGCGAACGGGUGAGUAACACGUGGGUGAUCUGCCCUGCACUUCGGGAUAAGCCUGGGAAACUGGGUCUAAUACCGGAUAGGACCACUUUAUGGAUGGUGUGGUGGAAAGUUUUUCGGUGUGGGAUGAGCUCGCGGCCUAUCAGCCUGUUGGUGGGGUAAUGGCCUACCAAGGCGUCGACGGGUAGCCGGCCUGAGAGGGUGUACGGCCACAUUGGGACUGAGAUACGGCCCAGACUCCUACGGGAGGCAGCAGUGGGGAAUAUUGCACAAUGGGCGCAAGCCUGAUGAAGCGACGCCGCGUGGGGGAUGACGGCCUUCGGGUUGUAAACUCCUUUCGCUAGAGACGAAGCGCAAGUGACGGUACCUGGAGAAGAAGCACCGGCUAACUACGUG
This 465-nucleotide ribosomal RNA is filed under the name uncultured bacterium. Its description in RNAcentral is "partial 16S ribosomal RNA". It matches the Rfam family "Bacterial small subunit ribosomal RNA", at positions 28 to 507 of the family's 1533-position model. The record is from RNAcentral.